UGGGGAAUCUUGGACAAUGGGGGCAACCCUGAUCCAGCCAUGCCGCGUGAGUGAUGAAGGCCUUAGGGUCGUAAAGCUCUUUCGCCUGUGAAGAUAAUGACGGUAGCAGGUAAAGAAACCCCGGCUAACUCCGUGCCAGCAGCCGCGGUAAUACGGAGGGGGCUAGCGUUGUUCGGAAUUACUGGGCGUAAAGCGCGCGUAGGCGGACUGAUCAGUCAGGGGUGAAAUCCCGGGGCUCAACCCCGGAACUGCCUCCAAAACUAUCGGUCUAGAGUUCGAGAGAGGUGAGUGGAAUUCCGAGUGUAGAGGUGAAAUUCGUAGAUAUUCGGAGGAACACCAGUGGCGAAGGCGGCUCACUGGCUCGAUACUGACGCUGAGGUGCGAAAGUGUGGGGAGCAAACAGGAUUAGAUACCCUGGUAGUCCACACCGUAAACGAUGAAUGCCAGUCGUCGGGUAGCAUGCUAUUCGGUGACACACCUAACGGAUUAAGCAUUCCGCCUGGGAGUAC
This 509-nucleotide ribosomal RNA is filed under the name uncultured bacterium. RNAcentral's name for it is "bacterial SSU rRNA". It matches the Rfam family "Bacterial small subunit ribosomal RNA", at positions 355 to 883 of the family's 1533-position model. The record is from RNAcentral.